Molecule: long non-coding RNA, 1250 nt
Organism: Oreochromis aureus
Lineage: Eukaryota; Metazoa; Chordata; Actinopteri; Cichliformes; Cichlidae
Exons: 3
Source: RefSeq, a predicted model, not a curated record
AGAAACGUUUGUUUGUCUUUGAAACAUUCUCAUCAUUCUCCUAUAUUCUGUACUAUCUGUGCAGAUAAAUGCUGCAGUAAACAUCAUGUAAAAGAUUUCUGAGACAAAUAGGUGAGACUACAGGGUUUAGCUUUUGUUAGCGUAGGCUUCCACUUUGCUGUGUCAUACUUUUUGUCACGGCGGCAGAUGUGUGGAGUUAUAGAGAAGUGGGCCCAAACGCAGACAAUGUGGAUGGUAUAAGAGAAAACAAGCCUUUAUUGGUGGCUGAAAAGAAACACUACAAAACAAACCAGCAAAAAACCUAAACUGGAAGCAUGGAGCUGAACAAGCUGAAACCUGAAACCAGAGCUGAAGACCAGGGAUGAUACACAGACGAUCCGAUGAGGACUAAAGGGAAGCACACACUAUGGAGGAAACGGCAGGGAACACAGCUGAGACUAAUCAGACAAGACGAGACCGCCAGCAACACAGCAGUCACCCCAGGACAAAAAGGAGAAGCUUCUGGAUGAAGCGGUGCAAGCUGUCGAGAUCCAGUCAUUCCAAAUGAAGCAAUGCCCGACCACAUGAGGCUUCAGCACUGUGUCUGAGGAGGUGGUAUCAGAUGAUGGUGCUCUCUUCCUUCCUCUUUACCUUCUACUCAUCGGAGUUCAGUUAUAACACCACCAACUGCCACCUCCAGAGCAGGAUACGGGCUUCGUUGGAUGUGGACCUGAGGCGAAACGAUCUUGAGCAUAGGAAGGUUAUCACACACUCACUGUCAUCUGGUGUAACUCGACAACAUGCACAUCAGCACCAGCGUAUCAAAACAAGAUGUUGGUUGAUUUCUGGAGAAAGCCGAGACCUAUCGGUGCGAUAUCGGUGCGAUAGGUCUCCACCGAAUUUCUCCACAGUUUGGACUGGUGCAAAUUGCCAGGUGAUAACAGAUAACACUGAUGCUCCAUUUGCUGGACAGGCUGAGGUCUUUUGAGGUGUGCAGGACAUUACUGAAGACCUUUUAUGACGUAGGUCCUUCAUCUUGACAGCACUCAGACUGUUUAAUACCCACACAGGAUAAAGGUGUUUAAAAAAUACAUGUGUGUUAUUAUCACUCUCACUGUGGUAUAUGUACAUAUUGUUCGUGUAUUUUACUCUAUAUAGAAACCAUCUGUACAUAGUUUAGUAUUCUGGCUUAUUGUACACUAUUUGUAUUUUUCUAAUAUAUCUCUCAUUAACUGUUUCUUCCUGCUUCUCGUGCUCCUGUAACAAGGCAA